GUAGGUGGCAAGCGUUGUCCGGAAUUAUUGGGGCGUAAAGCGCGCGCAGGCGGUUCGUUUAAGUCUGAUGUGAAAGCCCACGGGCUCAACCGUGGAGGGUCAUUGGAAACUGGAGAACUUGAGUACAGAAGAGGAAAGCGGAAUUCCACGUGUAGCGGUGAAAUGCGUAGAGAUGUGGAGGAACACCAGUGGCGAAGGCGGCUUUCUGGUCUGUAACUGACGCUGAGGCGCGAAAGCGUGGGGAGCAAACAGGAUUAGAUACCCUGGUAGUCCACGCCGUAAACGAUGAGUGCUAAGUGUUAGGGGGUUUCCGCCCCUUAGUGCUGCAGCUAGCGCAUUAAGCACUCCGCCUGGGGAGUACGGCCGCAAAGGCUG
Molecule: ribosomal RNA, 375 nt
Filed under: uncultured organism
Description: partial 16S ribosomal RNA
Rfam family: Bacterial small subunit ribosomal RNA
Source: RNAcentral